This 294-nucleotide ribosomal RNA is filed under the name uncultured bacterium. RNAcentral describes it as "partial 16S ribosomal RNA". It matches the Rfam family "Bacterial small subunit ribosomal RNA", at positions 337 to 628 of the family's 1533-position model. The record is from RNAcentral.
UCCUACGGGGGGCAGCAGUGAGGAAUAUUGGUCAAUGGGCUUACGCCUGAACCAGCCAAGUCGCGUGAGGGAAGACUGCCCUAUGGUUUGUAAACCUCUUUUGUCAGGGAGCAACGCCGGCUACGUGUAGCCGGACUGAGAGUACCUGAAGAAAAAGCAUCUGCUAACUCCGUGCCAGCAGCCGCGGUAAUACGGAGGAUGCGAGCGUUAUCCAGAUUUAUUGUGUUUAAAGGGUGCGUAGGCGGAAUGCCACGUCAGCGGUAAAAUCGCGGGGCUCAACCUCGCUCCGCCGUU